CUCCCCCCAGCACCAACCCCCACCCACACUCUGCUCGCCAGCCUCGCACUUACAUCGGCACGCUCGGGCGCCGAGGGGCUCGGAAGGUCGCGCCCCUACUGGGGGGCGCGUCGCCCCUCCACACCCACGGCUGUGACGGCGUCGCCGGGAAAGUCAGGCCAUUCCUCCCGUCCUGCGCGCCGUCUCCUGUCCGCCUGCGCGCCCGCAGUUUAACCAAAGCUGCGUGUCUACGAGCCGUGCCCAUCACAUGGUGUCUGCCGGCGACCGCGCCUUGUUGCCUCCCUCUCCCGGCUCUCUGAGGAGGCAGCGACUGCGACUGGCGGAGGCUGAGCGUUGGGGAAGGGGUGAGGGAGGGGGUGCGGAAGCGCGUGCGCCCGCGCGCGGAGGCCGGCACCGAGAGCUGAGGCCGCGCGCCACCCGGGCACCUGCCUGACGCCCUCCGGGGCCGGGCAACGAGCUCCGAACUCAGCUGCCGGAGCAGCUGGAGGAUGGGAACCCUCGGGGCUGGAGCCCGCAGCGGGAGGUGCCUUCCCUCUUCCACAUCCAGCACCGGCCGACCUUGCCACCCCUCCCUGAGAUCGGGGCUGCGGAGCUCUGUGUUGGGCCCUGGGUGUGAUGCGACCUGAAGCACUUGCCGAGCUCCGAGCGCGCACCUGUCUAGGCGCGAAGAGGCCGAGAGUGGAGAUUCCGCGUUACUCCGCCCCGAGGGCUGCGGCGUUCCCGGCCCUCCCAAGUCCGGACUGGGAGCGUUGGAGGAUGCGGGAGAAGGAUGGAGGGCGGGAGCUGCUGGGCCCGGUUCUCUUUCUUCAGCCUACUCUUUGUUUCAAGCACAGCCCCUUCUAACUGGGCACUUCCUUGUGAGGGACUCGUGUCUGCUUAAAAUGGCGACAGGAAAUCUCACCUGCGCGCCAAUUAGUACAGGGCGAAUUGACAGGGUGGAAACUGGAAACUUAUAUUGACAGGGAUGGUUCCGUCGUGGUGUCUCAUCAAAACAGGACAGGGAAGGUGAAUCAUAAUCCAUAAAGUCACCGGUCUGGAGUCUUUCAAGCCGGCAGAUCGAGUAGUCAGUGUUGCAGUGGUUAUUUCAUCUGGGUCACUGCUGGAGACCACGACAGAGAACAACCCAGCGGAGCUCCUCCUCAUUAUUGACUAAAAUUCUUAUUCCCUUCGAACGGAAGUGGAUGGCCUUAGUUAGUUCAACAGUGGCUUCCUGAGAGCCCAGUUCAGAAGGCGUGUUCUUGACUUACCUGAGAAACCGAAAGGUCCGUUCAAACAAGGGGAAAGACAGGCAGCCUCGCUCAGCGGAUCCGCAGUUUCUUAGACUCGUAUUGCUUCCCUCACCAGCUUAACUAUUUUUGUCCCGGUGCUGUUUUCCUAGUUGGAAGGAAAAAAAAAGAUUAAUAGUAGACACAUCAGAGUAAUAUUCUGUAGGUCAUCUACUUUCUACCUUUUUGCCUAGAGGAAGUUAAUUUAGUGUGAAAUUACUGAGGUCAAGUAGGGUGCACUUUGCCUGGCACAAAUAAUUCCUAUGAAUCAGGUAAGAAAUUAAGUAGGUAAAAAGGUAAAUCGUGAGCCGUAGUUCAGUAACUCAGUUAAAACGUUUAUCUUGUUAAAGGCAGAAUAUAUAUUCAAUAUGUGUUUAAGAGAAUCAGAUCUUAAGCUUAUCUUUUGGUUCCAGUUUUAACUUACUUGCUAGUUCCGAGUAUACCAAAACAUGCAGUUACUUAGCAGUUUUUGAACUGGAUUAAAUAGUUAUGAAUUGAGGUCUUACUGUUUGCCGGGUACUGUGCUAAAACUUUCCAUGUAGGGCCCGGGAUUUAGCUUAGUGGUUCCACCGCCUGCCUGGAAAGGGCAAGGUCCCGAGUUCGAUCCCCAGUACCAAAAAAAAAAAAAAAAAAAAACUUUCCAUGUAAAUAUUUUCUCAUUUAAUCCUUUUCCCCCUUCAGUUAGAUAUUACUUCUGUAUGAACAAGAAAGGGUGUUCAAAGAGACUUCAUUGGCCCCAUUUACAUAAGACAGCAAGUAGUGAAGGGGAGAGCUAUUCCCUUUCAGGUCUGAUUUCAAAGUCCAUACUCAGUCUUAACCACAGAGCUUCUACCCAAUUUGCAAUCAGAUGAGGAUCUCCACCCCUCCUCUGGGUUUUAGUUGACCACUAGGAAGUGAAGGAAACCGUGAGGAUUGUUGCUGUGUGAGGAUUGGUGUGGGAGGGGGGAGAGGGAGGGUUCAGGAAGAGGAGUUUAUGCCUGGUUACGUCGGUGUUUUUCCAGGAUGCUUUCGGAUGAAACUUCCUCGUGUCCUUUCAGUAGUUCAGCUCUUAAACCUAAUUGCUGUGCUCUCAGUGGGGUACCACUCAUGUCAUGGAGGUGAUUUCCGUAUUCACUGUGUACUAAGAGACUAGCAGUAAGUGAAGCAUUUUAAAAUGGUCUGCCAGGUAGUGCUCCCAGCAUUGCCAACAGGACAUGCCAUUUUAAUUGCUGAUUCAGAGCUUAAAAGAAUUAAUCCCAAAUCCACAUAGCUGUAAUUGGCACAUCUAAGUCUUGAACCCAGAGCCUACUCCAAAGCCAGUACUGUAUGUCUGGCUCUAAAAUGUUCCUUGACUCUGCAGCAGCCCUGUUUGGAAGACCAGCAGGUAAGUGGACCUGUACCUUCAGAUGGGAACCACUGCUACGGAGUCUGGGAGUUAGUUUGCCAUCUGUUAAUUAGAUUUGCAAGCUCUGAGGUCAUUGUUAGUAUUGAAUGUUAUCUGUAGACCUCUCCUAAGUGAGCAGACUUCCCCAAAUGAUACUAAAGUAGUUUGGGCUGCCCUGCAGUAUUGAGAAAAUAAACUUUCUGCAUCCUCUCUCAUAGUAAGCCUAGGGUAAGAUCUGUGCCAUACAAUGAGAAUUGAGUAACUUUACCUAGUAGCGUCAUAGCUUUUUUGGUAUGGCUCCAGAAAAAGGGCACUUUGUGAAGAAAAACCAGUUGAACCCUAAAGAGUACUGAACCUGAACUUAAGCCACAUCAUCCCAGUUCCCCACUGUGUUCAGCUGGGUUGCCCAACAGGACAGCUGCAAAAAGGGCCACCACCAGCUGCUUACAGAAAAUAUGUGAUUUCCUCCACAGGUUUUCAGAGCCUUCCAAAUGCAUCUGGUCUGUUACUAGCAGACUUCUUGUGUACAAAUUUUGAGUAAUAUAAAAAUUAAAACUAUUUUCUGAAUAUAGUUCUUUUUAACUUAUAAAGGACUGUUGGGAUAAUCUGAAUUAUAACAGUGAUUUUAAAAAUAGGGAUGUCAACAGGUAAGGUUAUUUCAGAAUAAUGACUAUUUCUUACAUAUAACAGAAGGAGGUCUGCUAUCAGAUGCGCAAAUUCUACCUCAAUAGAAAAGUUGUUUAUUCUGAAAUCAAUCUUUUAUUCCUGAUUAUGGGUUCUAUAAUGGUCUAUAAAAUUACUGGUUUUUCUUGACUGAUGGGAUCACACCCCUUUGCCUGAUUAACUCUUUUACCAGCCUUGUUCUCUGGAUCUCAUCCAUACGUAACAAUAUCUUGACAUUGGAAGUUAGAGAAGCAGCCACAGCCAAAAGUGGAUUUGCAGCCAAAGGAACUCCCAGUUAUCUUGGCUGUCCUGCAGCUACCAAGCCUGUGUGGCCUACACCCCUUUGUAGAUAACACUGACAAAGAUAUUGUCACUUAUUCCAGCAUGGUGAUGAAUGCUACAUCUCUCCAGAUUUGUAAUUAAUUAGCUCUGGCAGGAGGUCACCAAUACCCACUGACUCCAAAAUGAAUUUAAAUCAAAACCCCAGAGUGAGCCUCUUUUAAAAACGCCUGUUGUCUCUGCUUUUGGCUAAGGUCAGCUUUGUAAGGUCACUUACUUAUUUUCUUAACCUGUUAGAGGAGCUUGUGGUGAAGUUCAUUAGGUAUUACAACUGUAUGGUGAUACAGUCUCAUUCAGUUGAGUUACCUAAAGAACCAGGGCAAGUGAUGAGACUGGAAGUUUAAUGCUGCCUUCCCUGGCACUUCCACACCAUUAUGCAGGUGCAUUGUGAGUCAGUUUCCUACCUAGCUACAAAAUGGGGUGUGAUACUCAUCUGGUGAUCAAGUCUACAAAGCACCCAAGCAGGAUGUUUGGUACAUAAUAAAUACCUAACAAAUGGUUCCUUUCGUUAUUUGCACACUUUGAAGAAACAGGCAUGGAACAAUUUUCAGAGCCUACGUUUAUAGGCACAAAGUAUUCUGUCAUGGCCACCCCAUACCGCUAAAGCUGCUGAGCUCACGUCUCAGUUGUAAUUCCUCCUACUGUAGAACUGGAAAAGAGAAGGUAUUAAAUAAUAAGCCCUAUUUCAACUUCUAAUUAACUUCAAGGUAGGAAAGCAUUUUGGGGGUAUACAUUAAGAAUUAGUUAAUUAGAAAGUAGAAGUGUCCCUAAAUUGAGUAUAGUGUCUAUAUUUAUAAUGGUGCUGGUGUAAAUCGAUGGAACUUUUUGUGAGGUAGCAAAUUUAGUGAAUGUGGGCUCUAGGGACAGAUUUCUCAAGUUCUGAUCUUUUUUGGGGAGUGGGGGAUCUGGGAAUCAAGACUCAGGAGUACUUAGCACUGAGUUGCAUCCCCAGCCUUUAUCUAUCUAUCUAUCCAACUAUCUUUAAUUUUGAGAAGGGUCUCACUAAGUUACACAGGCUGGCCUCAAACUUACAAUCCUCCUGCCUCAGCCUAGCAAAUAGCGUGAACUACUGGCAUGCAUCACUGUACCUGGCCCGAGUUCUAAUCUUGAUCCCACAGCUCUGUGACCUUGGGCAAGUCACUUAAUUUUUCUCUUUCUAGGUUUCUUCACUGAAAAAGGAAAUAAUAAUGCCUACCUCACAAGAUACAUCGUCACAUAAAAUAGUUCACAUUAUAUCUUAACUACUUAAUAAAUAAAUAUUGUAUUGGAAAAUAGUCUGGCAAGAAGUAGAAAGAACCUAGAUACCUUGUGUGUCACUUCUGGGGAUCUGAAAUCUAGAAAUGAUGCAGAAAGAUGCUUCCCUAUAGCAACAAAGGUAAGGAACAGGGUUUGGGAUGAGGCUAGUAUAGAUAAAAAGCUUCUUUCUUUCGUUUGUUUUGGUGGUACAGUGAGUGGUACCUCAGUUCACAAACUUAAUUCUUGACAUGAUUCUAGUUCCAAACCAAAUUGGAUGAAAACCGAUUUGAAUUCAAUGGUCAGGUUCAAUGUUGACCUUAUGGGGAAAUUUGAUUUGGUCCUCAUCCAAUUAAGUUUGCAACCAGAAUCAUGGAAAGAAUCAAGUUCAUGAAUAGAGGUACCACUAUAUUGGAGAUUAAGUCCAGAGCUUUUGCACUGAGCUACAUUUCCAGUCUGUCCCCCUCUUAAAUUUUUUAUUUUGAGACAAGGUCUGGCUAAGUUGCCCAGGCUGGGAUCAAACUUAUGAUCAUCCUCCUACCUCAGUCUUCCAGAGUGCUGGGACUACAGGGAUGUUCACCCCACCCAAUUUAAAAAGCAUGUUUAAAAACAUUCAUUGCUUUUUUUUUGGUUUUUUGAAACAGGGUCUCACUAUGUAGUUCAGGCUGGCCUUGAGCUCACUGUGUAACCCAGGCUGGCCUCAAACUCAGAGAUCCUCUUGCCUCAGCCUCCUUGGUGCUGGGAUUACAGUUGUGCAUCACCAUACAUUUAUUGAAACCAAGCAUAACAAAUUUAUAAAUGACAGAUCCAACUAAAUAGAGGGUUCAGAGAGCUCUGAACCAUCUGGAAACCCUUAGAGGUGCUUUAUUCUUUUUUUUUUUUGUACCGGGGACCGAACUCAGGCCCUUGCGCUUGCAAGGCAGGUGGUGAAACCACUGAGCUAAAUCCCCGGCCCUAGAGGUGCUUUAAGAAGCAAGAUACAGAGCUGACUCUUCCUUAGUUCUAAUCCAGUGUGAUCACUCUCUUUCUUAACCAGGUUGAGCAUCGAAAGGGAACAUAGCUGGAAGAUGGAUUUUCUUCCAAGAGCAGAGAAAUGAAAGUGAUCACAGGAAGGGAUGGAAGGCAUCAAGGAAAGUCAGUAUGUAGAUAAGAAAACUAGGGAAAAAAACAAAAUUGAAAGCCAGGAAUAGCUGAAGCAAGUCAUAAAUGCACAGCACCAGCUCUUAGGGCAGGCCUGGGGUAGGGUCAUCUCCACAUAUUAGAGCCAUCCUCUCACUAGGUGCUACUGGAUGCUAAAAUCUUAUGAGCAGAAGCAGUUUUCAGGUUUUCUGCUGGAAAGGUAGCUUUUGGGGGAAAGAGGUGUUUUGAUUUCAUUUGUCUUCUCACUAUAAGAGUAUUUAAAGGGAAAAAACCUAUUUAUAAUGAGUAGAAUACCAUGCCUUACCCCAAAUAAACUUCCAUUUUGAAUGGUUGUUCCUAGAAUAAGAAACACCAAAUAAUUUUCAGUGUGCUUGAUUUUUAUAUUUGAGGCAUAUGAAAUUUCAAAAUCACAAAGGGGGUAAUUUUAACAGAUUUAAAAUUGAUAGUCUUCUGUUGAUCUAUAUUUAUAAUUAUUUAUCCACACACUAUGUGCUCCUAAAAUAAAAUGUUUGAAGUUUUUUAUUCAAAUGUGAUAAGACCAAAACUGAACUCACUGUUCCUUCGCCCACCCCAAACCUUCUUCUCUCUUAAACCUCUUCUUGGGAAAUGGCACCACACAGGCAAAUGCUAAAGCUGGAAUGAGGGUAUCCUGGCUUGUCUCCUUUGCUUUCUGCAUGUAAUUCACUCUUUCAACUAACAUUUACUAAGUGCCAGUCAUUCUGCUAGUCUUCCAGGGAACCUGGAGUUAGGAAUAUGAGAUUGAAGGGCCAGGGAUUUAGCUCCGUGGUUCUGGUGCCUGCCGCAUAAGCGCAAGGUCCUAAGUUUGAUCCCUGGUACAAAAAAUAUAUAUAUAUGAGAUUGACAUUAAUUGGAUGGUCUCACCAGUGAAUGUACAAGUUACAGAUGGAGAGAAAGUUUGGAGGAAAAGGAGCCCAACUCUGGGGGAGAUGCACAGGACUUUGGACUUCCCUGGAAUGUGGCCCUUAUUUGGACUCUGGUUUCUGUAUGCAAAGGGUUUUGAUAAAGAGCCGGUGAUGGAUUCAAGGUGUUUUCAAAAGGAAUACAGCUAUGCCAAUUCUGUCUCCACCUGUUCCCUACUAUACAUUCCCUUUCCUCCAUCCCAUGACCAUUGCUGGUAUGAGCCUCUGUCAGCUCCCCCCUGGG
Heterocephalus glaber (naked mole-rat) is the source of this 7167-nucleotide long non-coding RNA. Lineage: Eukaryota; Metazoa; Chordata; Mammalia; Rodentia; Bathyergidae. The record is from Ensembl.